Molecule: ribosomal RNA, 301 nt
Filed under: uncultured bacterium
Lineage: Bacteria
Description: partial 16S ribosomal RNA
Rfam family: Bacterial small subunit ribosomal RNA
Source: RNAcentral
CGUGCGCGGUAAUACAGAGGGUGCGAGCGUUAAUCGGAUUUACUGGGCGUAAAGCGUGCGUAGGCGGCUUCUUAAGUCGGAUGUGAAAUCCCUGAGCUUAACUUAGGAAUUGCAUUCGAUACUGGGAAGCUAGAGUAUGGGAGAGGAUGGUAGAAUUCCAGGUGUAGCGGUGAAAUGCGUAGAGAUCUGGAGGAAUACCGAUGGCGAAGGCAGCCAUCUGGCCUAAUACUGACGCUGAGGUACGAAAGCAUGGGGAGCAAACAGGAUUAGAUACCCCGGUAGUCCCUGUCUCUUAUACACA